Phrynosoma platyrhinos (Desert horned lizard) is the source of this 72-nucleotide non-coding RNA. NCBI's taxonomy places the organism in Eukaryota, Metazoa, Chordata, Lepidosauria, Squamata, Phrynosomatidae. The record is from the annotation of a GenBank genome assembly.
GCCAGUGUGGUGUAGUGGAUUGAGUGUUGGACUAUGACUCUGGAGACCAGGGUUCAAUUCCCUGCUUAGUCA